GACGAACGCUGGCGGCGUGCUUAACACAUGCAAGUCGAACGGUGAAGCGCCUUCCUUUUUGGUGGGUGUGGAUGAGUGGCGAACGGGUGAGUAACACGUGAGUAACCUGCCCCCUUCUUCUGGAUAACCGCAUGAAAGUGUGGCUAAUACGGGAUAUUCUGGGUCUGUCGCAUGAUGGGUCUGGGAAAGAUAUUGUUUCGGUGGGGGAUGGGCUCGCGGCCUAUCAGCUUGUUGGCGGGGUGAUGGCCUACCAAGGCGGUGACGGGUAGCCGGCCUGAGAGGGUGGACGGUCACACUGGGACUGAGACACGGCCCAGACUCCUACGGGAGGCAGCAGUGGGGAAUAGUGCACAAUGGGCGCAAGCCUGAUGCAGCGACGCCGCGUGAGGGAUGGAGGCCUUCGGGUUGUGAACCUCUUUCGCCAGUGAAGCAGGCCUGCCUCGUUUGUGGGUGGGUUGACGGUAGCUGGAUAAGAAGCGCCGGCUAACUACGUG
RNAcentral lists this ribosomal RNA (494 nucleotides) under uncultured bacterium. Its description in RNAcentral is "partial 16S ribosomal RNA". It matches the Rfam family "Bacterial small subunit ribosomal RNA", at positions 28 to 507 of the family's 1533-position model. The record is from RNAcentral.